Molecule: ribosomal RNA, 465 nt
Filed under: Vreelandella stevensii
Lineage: Bacteria; Pseudomonadati; Pseudomonadota; Gammaproteobacteria; Oceanospirillales; Halomonadaceae
Description: partial 16S ribosomal RNA
Rfam family: Bacterial small subunit ribosomal RNA
Source: RNAcentral
CCUACGGGUGGCUGCAGUGGGGAAUAUUGGACAAUGGGGGGAACCCUGAUCCAGCCAUGCCGCGUGUGUGAAGAAGGCCCUCGGGUUGUAAAGCACUUUCAGUGAGGAAGAACGCCUGGUGGUUAAUACCCAUCAGGAAAGACAUCACUCACAGAAGAAGCACCGGCUAACUCCGUGCCAGCAGCCGCGGUAAUACGGAGGGUGCGAGCGUUAAUCGGAAUUACUGGGCGUAAAGCGCGCGUAGGUGGCUUGAUAAGCCGGUUGUGAAAGCCCCGGGCUCAACCUGGGAACGGCAUCCGGAACUGUCAAGCUAGAGUGCAGGAGAGGAAGGUAGAAUUCCCGGUGUAGCGGUGAAAUGCGUAGAGAUAGGGAGGAAUACCAGUGGCGAAGGCGGCCUUCUGGACUGACACUGACACUGAGGUGCGAAAGCGUGGGUAGCAAACAGGAUUAGAUACCCCGGUAGUC